CACAAAAGAAGAGGCAGAAGUCAGAAGUGGGCAGACACUGAACUCCAAGACACGGGGGAGGGGGGGCGCGCUAAAAACAGGUUUGGCUCAGUUCCCACUGAAAGUUCUGGAGACGCUAACAUUGUUCCUUCUCCAGGCAGGCCCCCACGUGACUUCUCCAAGCUCAGUUUCCUAAUGUGGAGGUACUUUUCUUCGGUCUCAUAUAGUCCAGGUUAGCCUCACACUCGCUGUGUGCCAAAGCUAGCUUGGGUUCCUGAUUCUCCCGGCCUUAGCCUCUUGAGAACUGCAAUACAGGUGUGGUUUUUCUACAUAUACACGCCCAAGAUCAUACCAAGAGUGAAGACAAGCUGCAGAAGCAGGUGGAUGGAUCGUGUGAAUUCCAGGAUAGCCUGAGCUACAGAGAACAGAAAUCCUACCUUAAAAAACUCAAAAACAGACAGAAAGGAAGGAGGGAGGGAAAGAAGGAAGGAGUCCCAGAGCAGGAUUUACUAAGAGUCUGGGCUGUGGAGUUAGAGAUAGCUGAGCUCACAGCCAGCGCCACCAAUUAAAAGUUCUGUGACUGUGGGUAGGAGCUAAAGCCUGUUUACUCAUUGAAGUUUUGUUGUUGUUGUGUGUGAGACAGGGCCUCACCACAGAACUCUGGCUGGCCUUGAAGAGAUUCACUUGUGUUUACCCCCCAGGUAUGAGAUUUAAAGGCACCUGCCAAGGCACCUAGCUUCCUUUACUCAUUAGUGUGAAAGGGAUACUAGAAGGCCAGACAUGGCGGCCCACACCCAUAACCAACACCUAAGAGACUAACACAGGAAGAUCUUGAGUUCAAGGUUAGCCCGAGCUGCAGCAGGACUGGCUCAAAACACCAACCAGGGCUGGGAUCUAUUUCGUUUAGUAUAGUUAGAUAUAUUUGCCCAACAUAUAUGAAGCCCUGGGUUUGAUUCCCAACAUGGCAUAAACCAGGUGCGAUUGUAGCCUGUCACCCUAGUACUCAUGAGCAGAGCCGGUGACAGGAGAUUCUGCUUUAAAAAACACACAAGCAAAGGAGGGGGCAAUGGGACUACCCUCCUAGGUUUGUUGCUGGAUCCAGUGUUUAAGACAGAAAGGUUGAACACAGAUGUGUAAUACAUUAAAAAAUGGAUUCACUUUUAUUAUUUUCCCGGGGCCAGACGGGCUCUCUAAACCUCAGUUUCCAAAUGUUGUAAUAAUGGGCACAGCACCACACAGGUGUGAAACACUGCUUCUAUUUCUUUUACUCCACCCCUCUUCCCAACCCCACUCAUCCAUUCUGCUCCUAGGAGAGACGAGCUGAUGAGGAAGCCAGCCUGAACGAAGGAAUGAAGAACUCACCCAGCACAAUGCCAUCUGUGUUUGGUGGAAACACUGCCUGCCUUCCAGGGGCUUCGAAACUCCCCAGACCCCACAACCACUAAGGUACCUCUUUUUGCUAGAGAGUUCUGAUCAGGUGUGUGGAACUUAUUGUCUCUAUCCAGACCACCAGUGUGCACCCCCCUCCCCCCGAUCUACAGCUCUGUUGCUAUAAGGGAUGAGCCAAGACAAGGCUGGCUUAGGUCAUUCCCAGAACCCUGGGCCAUUAGGUUGCCUGCCUCACAGAGGUCAGGGGUAGGGCUGGGGUGCUAAAUUGCCCCCUAAGUCUCCUCCUCUGUGUCCUCUGUGUGCCACCUGUCGCCUCCCACAGCCGCAGGAGCCAGGCAGACAGAAAGCCCCUUUCCCAUGUACUCUGUUAGCUUUCCUCUCCAGUAGGGACACAUUGGCAUUCUGCUCAGCCUCAGCUGCUGUCUGCCGGGCAAUCAGCCCCAGGGAUGACUUUUGUCCUCUGGUUGGACUUGCCAGGAUACCCCAGAGAGCCAGGGACACCAGGUGGGUUCCUGCAGGGAAAGGGAAGCAGGCACCCCAUCUUGGUGGUUAGGCCAGCAGCAUAAAAGAGAGUGAGGGCUAAGGGCUCGGGACACCAGAUCUGGACCACAACAGUCUUGGGGUAGGUAAGCCACUGCGCCAGUGAGCUGACAGAUGUAGACAACUGGGGUAGUAAGGAAAAGGGAGCAGGGGUGCUGCAGGGAUGGAUGUCAGCUCUCUACAGUUAGGGUGACAAGCACGACCAAUUGCAGAGAUGAAAAAAGGACUGAUGUGUGGGGUGCCAGGCUCAGCGAGCACUGGAGAAGCCUCAUCCCAGAAGCUGGCUCCACUGCAGUUGAAGGACAGUUGCCAAGAGGAAGAAUCUUCUGAGGGAACUACUGGAGAGAGAGGGUGGGCUGCUGCAAACUACUUGGCAUGCUGACAGUGAUGAACCCAGCUUUGCCUGCUCCCCUCAAAGGUCCAGAGCACAAAUUCUGCAUAAAUCCCCUUCACUCCCACCCCCACCAGCCCUUAGCCAUUGCCAGUGACCCUCUACAAGCCAGGUCUCCAUGGUGAUCUCAGCCCAGCAGGCGGUUCCUGCCAGAACCUUCCCAUGGUGCCUGCGGCCAGGCAGCAGGAGGCUUUCUCACCCUCUUGCUAAGCUGCCCAGAGCACCUUACCUCUCCUCCCACCUUCCCCUCCCAGCUUCCGGGACUUAGCCAGCCAGGGGCUCAGGCAGAAUCUGGGGGAGGAUGGUGGGUGGGGAAGAAUCACAGGCUGGGGGUGUUCUUGGUGAAGGGAGAAUGCUAUGCUGGAUAGAACACAGACCUAGCGAGGCUCAACUCUCGAAAACUGAACCAAAUACUAAGGUGUCAGGCAACCCAGCUCAGGGACUAGGAACAAGGCAGAGAAGGUAAGCACUCUGGAUCCACCCUAAAAGCCUGCCGGAGUGGAGAGAGAGCAAAGCAGACAGAUCCUAACCAUGCAGUCUCCAUGCAGGUAGGUGGUUGUGCCAAGGGAAGUCCUGAGGGGCUCAGGAAGAGGAGGAACAUUCAGUCCAGUCUGGGAAGUAAGGCUAUAGCUCUAAAUUAACCACUAAGUACAGAGCUCAGCGUGCCGGGAAGGCGCAUGCGUGCAGACAGCACCAUGACUGAUCUAAGGCCGGUCAGCAUGUCAGAGUGUCCCACUCAGCUCUUUCUCAUACACCUCUAGGAUGCCUCCUUAGAAUGCCUUGUUACCAUAGCUGCCAGUGCACUUGCCAUUCUCUACUUGGCUCUUCUAGAGCACAGACCUGUGUGUGGUACCUCUGAACCCUGAGUUCCAGCAUGCACCCGACCCCAGGACGCCAACCACUUUUACUCAGACUUAACCUGAGUGCCUCCAUGAGGAACCCGAGUCACAUUCACUGCGCCCUCCGGCUAUUGCAGGUUUAGCAACUGAGGUGCCAGGGACUUCAGUGGUCUCUGCCUGGGCAGAGAUAACACAGACACCAGGCUGCCCAGAGAGAGCCUUCCUCCCUAUAAACAGAGCAUCCACUGGCCUCCAUCAGAGCAGCCUUCUUUCACACCCACUUCCUGCUAGGGUGUGUGCUCAGGCUCCACCUCCACUCCCCUGCUCUCCCCUCUUCCCUCUCUAGGCUUCACUUUUCUUUCUGCAAAGUAAAGGGUUUGAACAGGUGACGAGAGAGCUUUAGGUGUCCCCGAUGUGCGGGGUCAAAGGACAAAUCAACUGCCCGAAGACUAGGCUACUUCUCUGCCAUUUUCAGGUUAUCAAGCCUAUGAGGUACCUAAAUGUACAGGCUAUUUCUGUGGGGCUUUAACUACACCUGAUAGGUAGAAAUACCACUAGAGGUUCAGUGAAGGAUCAUAGGGUUCCCAAUUGGAACCAAAGAGGCCAGGGGUGUGGGGCAGCUCGUCCACUUUCCAAAGUAUGUGCCUUGACCUUUGGCUCUGGGAGCCCCCUCUGUUGCUAGACACCGAGACCUACAGUACCUGGUAGCGGGACCAGAAGGGCUUCUUACCUGCAGAUACCCACCGAUCUGCUGUGACCACACCUCCCACCCCCCAUUCUAUUUUGUCCCAAGAAAACAAGUUCUCCCCAUAUAUACAUUUGUACACUUUUACACUUCUGUGUCAAAGUGUGUCUCCACCCUCUGUGCAGGAAAUGACCUAUGUGAGGACAGACAUCAUGGAUGAUGCAGACACACAGACAAAGUGGAUAAUGAAGGCAGAGUAACUCCCAAGAGUCUCUCUCUCGUCACUCAGUGUUUCUGCUUGGAGGCCUCUCUGGAAGUCACCUCGUCUGGAGCUGACAGGUUCACAGACACACCCUUCAAUACAUUGCUUUUCGGGUUACUUCCUGCAGAUUUGGGGACCUUCAGCCCUCCUGUUCUUUUGUGGAGACAGGGUCGCUCUAUGUAGCCACAUGCUUCUACCUCCUGAAUGCUGGAAUUGAAGGCAUGCAUCAACCACCAUGCUCAGCUGACCUUUCCUCUCUUAGUUCUUCUGGUGAAGAUGGAUCACUGAGGAGAAGCGUUAACUGCUAAACCUAAUGUCCUGAGUUUGAUCCUAGAACCCACAUGGUAAAAGAGGAAGGACUCCUAAAAGUUGUCCCCUGACCUCCACACACUUGAUACACACACACACACACACACACACACACACACACACACACACACCUGAAAUAUCCCCCUCCCAAAUGGUGAGACACUGGAGUUGGGGAGUCAAUGCGAAGAUGAGCAGGUAGCCUAAAGGAACAGAUGGCAUGCUGGGACAUUCCCAGAAAGGGCUUGUCAAGGAUGCAGAAAGAGCUGGAGAUUAAUUGUGCCUGGGAAGGAUCAGGGAACACUUCUUGGAGGAGGUGACGCCUGAGUGAAAGACUGGCAGUGACAGGUGGGAGACCACAGUGGAUAGCAGAGGGCAACCAGGCCAGGGCAAAGCAAAGGGCGCAUCCUGCAGAGAACUCUCUGAAAGGAGUGGAUGCCAGGACAGAGGCCUGAAUGUCUUCCGCACCAUGCCGGGCAGUCGGGCUUGUGUUCUGCAGACAGUCGUGCCGGAGAGGAAGGAUACAAUCAAAAGGUGUGAAGCGGCUCGCAAGAGCAGAUGUGCUUUAAUCAAUUCACCCAAUAAAUAUUUUAGGGGCCUCCAGACACCGUGCAUCUAAAAAUGCUGAACAACAAGCACUUUGGCGGCCACCACGGACAGAAUGGACUGGGGUGGGGGUGGGCCAGAGACCCAGCUGGCUGAGUGGGCCGCUAGCUGCUAAGUCUCUCAUCUGCUCGGAUCAUUUCCAGCUCCAGGAAGUCCCCGCUGCCCUCCUUAUGUAGCUCAGAAGGGCUGGCAUGGAGGAUCCUCCCUGCUGCUGGAGGAGCUGAGGCCCCCUCCCCUAGACAUGGUACUCAAGUAGAGGUCUGGAACAAGCCCAUUAGGCCCGUGGGUUAGUGCUAUCUGGAGCAUGGGAUACUGGCCAGGGCAGAGUGGGCUGCUACUUCAUGCGGACUGGACAGACUUCAUCUACUUCCCCAACCCCCAGCAGCACAGGCACCAUGGCACCAAAGAGGACAGUGGCAAGGCAGACAGUGCUAUCCAGGGAAAUGAAAACACACUCUAAAGUUACAAGGAAGGUUUCUCAGAUGCUUUGUGUUUGGGGAGAAGACGGGCUCUAGCCGACCCGGGUGAUUUUCCAAAGUCCUUUGGAGUAGCGCUUCCUCCAUCCCAGCGCCCCUACAUCUCCCCUAGACUUGGUCCAGUGGCUAACAUAAAGAACACUGGGACUAUCCUGUCCCUCACUCCCCAGGACUGGGGAUGGAAUCGAGGGUCUUGUGCACAGUAGGCAAGCACCCUUCAUACUCAGCUACUACGUCUCCAGCCCCAGAGAAAUUUCCAGGCUUCCAAAUGCUCCAGGCCCACAGCAGAAUACAAGACCCUUAGAGGACAGCAGACAAACAGAUGCAGGAGGGUUAUCUUUGGUCAAGCAAAGGUCAUGAACAGGGGUUGGAGAUGUGUGACUCACGCAGAUUGCACUGAAGACCCAGAAUUCAGAGUAUGGGAAGGCAUUCAUCCACCCAUCUACCAGCCAACUAGGUGCUUUCCUGUGGGCCAGGACAGGGAUAAGAGCUUUACAUGUCAAUCCCCUUAAUUCUUACAGAUAGAGAUGAUGUGACUCACUAGGUUACGUGAGUCACCAGAUCACCUAGCUGGUGAGGGGCCUGUGUGACCACAGACGUGCACUCCUAGCCACUGCCUGCCAGUUUGGAGCUCUGCUUUUACCAGGGAUGUGAGGUACAGGGAGAGGAGGAGCAGAAGGUAUGUUCAUAGAGAGAUGGUAUUUCCAAGGAGCGGGGGCUCUGAACAAGAAGGCCUGGCCUAAAUAUGGCUACAGGGAACGCAAGCAGAACUGGAGGAUGACCUCAGAAAGGCGAGAAAACCUGGAGCUCAGAGGAAGCAGGGCAGGACCGGCUGAGCCCUGACAUGAGGCCUCUUGCUCAGAGCCAGAGGCAAGAUCAAGUGACCUCUUAAGGAUUCAAGACUCAGAGAGACAAAGCCCAGAGCAGUCGGGCCUGGCCCAGGCCUGGGCAUGCCUGCUGACCCUGGCUGGAUGGUGGCGUUGGAAACUGCCUCCUGUUCCCGUCAGGCCCCAGCUGGUGUAACCUGGGAGGACCUGUGACAUUUCUCUUGGCCUCAGUUUUAGAGCCAAGAGCUAACAGGGAGGGGGAAGGAUUAGAGAUUCCUGAAUAUCUGUGGGCCCUUCCCACCUUCUCACCUCUGUUCUUGGGGUCUGGUGUGGUUGAUCUUUGGUUCAAGGGUCCCAACAUGGAGCCAGUUUGUCUGGCUCUGCUCUUCAUUAGAAAGGAUGCCUGUAUGCGCCCAAGGCCCCCCUCCUUUGGCCCACCCCUAACUGCCUAUCAGCUACAGCACUCAAGAGAGCCGGGACACACAUUUCCCACUGUCUCAUCUGACCUUUCACCUCCCGGCUCUCACUGGGAUGAAACCCGCUUUUGCCCCGAGUCCCCACUGCCUGCAGCGCCCCUCCCUGGCUCCACAUCUUGUGGCUUCUUCAAGCUAAGCGCAGCUUCCUAGCACAAAUCCACAAAAUUCAUUUAAAAUGCUAGUCCUCUGGAUACAGUGGUACAUGCUUGUAAUUCCAGCACUCAGCGGGCUGAGGCAGGAGGAAGCAAGUUCCAGGUCAGCCCCACCUAUAGUGAGUUAGUUCCAGGUUAGCUAGUGCUACAAUAUAGCAAGGCCUUAUCUCACAAAAACCCUUGACUCCCCAAAACAAAACUCAGCACCCCCCAAAGAACCAUAGGUUCACCUAAUGUGACCCAUCAUUUUGUAGCCGGAGAUGUGGGUGAAGAGUGGCAAACUUUGAAAGUCACAGGUGGAUCCAUGUUUGACAAACUACAGAUUCCUGGGCAGAUCUCAGUUGUGCCUGUUCCCUUACCUCUAGUGAAAGCCAAGAACAUACUCCCUGCCCAAGAUGCUGUGUCACACAAAGGAACAGCACAUAUCUGAACAGAGGAAUGACCUCUGAGCACAGCAUCCGGUGCUUGGUGUGCACUCUUAGCUUCUCCCUGCCUCUGGGCACCUGCCAUUUCCUACCCAGAGUUUCCAGGCUCUCUGUGUGCUUGUUUGAACUUCCUGGGAUAGAUGCUGAUCUCUAGACAGGAGCCAUGUCUGCUUUGUCUCCUCAGUGCCUGUCCCAGGGUUAGCGCGAAAAGGCUCAAGAUGAGCAGCUGAACUGAAUUACCACUUCACCAGUGCCCGGGAUUAAAGCUGAUCACUACCUGUUGCCCCUGACCCAAGUCCAGAUGGCUGGCAGGUCUUCAAUCAAGUAUACACAGCGAACUCCUUUUGACAGCAUCCCUGUUGUCUCGGAGAAGGAGGCCUAGCAGGAGGACAAGACCCAACAGAGACGUUGAGGGGAAAAGAAUGACAAGAAUGUAGAAAGGACCCAGACGGUGGCGGCGCACACCUUUAACCCCAGCACUCGGGAGGCAGAGGCAGGCAGAUCUCUGAGUUCAAGGCCUGGUCUACAGAGUGAGUCCCAGGUGCCCAGGGCUGUACAGAGAGUCUCUGACG
This is a long non-coding RNA of Alexandromys fortis (reed vole), 7925 nucleotides long. RefSeq lists it as uncharacterized. NCBI's taxonomy places the organism in Eukaryota, Metazoa, Chordata, Mammalia, Rodentia, Cricetidae. The record is from RefSeq and is a predicted model, not a curated record. The transcript has 3 exons.